UACGGGGGGAGCAAGCGUUGUUCGGAUUUACUGGGCGUAAAGGGCGCGUAGGCGGCCAGCGCAAGUCAGUUGUGAAAUCUCCGAGCUUAACUCGGAAAGGUCAACUGAUACUGUGCGGCUAGAGUGCGGAAGGGGCAACUGGAAUUCUUGGUGUAGCGGUGAAAUGCGUAGAUAUCAAGAGGAACACCUGCGGCGAAGGCGGGUUGCUGGGCCGACACUGACGCUGAGGCGCGAAAGCCAAGGGAGCGAACGGG
This 254-nucleotide ribosomal RNA is filed under the name uncultured bacterium. RNAcentral describes it as "partial 16S ribosomal RNA". It matches the Rfam family "Bacterial small subunit ribosomal RNA", at positions 524 to 776 of the family's 1533-position model. The record is from RNAcentral.